This 403-nucleotide ribosomal RNA is filed under the name Fusobacteriota bacterium. RNAcentral's name for it is "Fusobacteria bacterium partial 16S ribosomal RNA". It matches the Rfam family "Bacterial small subunit ribosomal RNA", at positions 355 to 776 of the family's 1533-position model. Lineage: Bacteria; Fusobacteriati; Fusobacteriota. The record is from RNAcentral.
UGGGGAAUCUUGCACAAUGGGGGAAACCCUUAUGCAGCGACGCCGCGUGAGCGAUGAAGGUUUUCGAAUCGUAAAGCUCUGUCCUAUGGGAAGAUAAUGACGGUACCAUGGGAGGAAGCCCCGGCUAACUACGUGCCAGCAGCCGCGGUAAUACGUAGGGGGCGAGCGUUGUCCGGAAUUACUGGGCGUAAAGGGUUCGCAGGCGGCAUGGCAAGUCCGAUGUAAAAGGCGAAGGCUCAACCUUCGUAAGCAUCGGAAACUGUCAAGCUUGAGUGAAGGAGAGGCAAGUGGAAUUCCUAGUGUAGCGGUGGAAUGCGUAGAUAUUAAGAGGAAUACCGGUGGCGAAGGCGACUUGCUGGACUUCAACUGACGCUGAGGAACGAAAGCGUGGGUAGCAAACAGG